Molecule: unclassified non-coding RNA, 146 nt
Filed under: uncultured Phialocephala
Lineage: Eukaryota; Fungi; Ascomycota; Leotiomycetes; Helotiales
Description: sequence contains ITS2
Source: RNAcentral
AACCACUCACGCCUGGCGUGGUAUUGGGGCACGCGGUCUCCGCGGCCCUCAAAAUUAGUGGCGGUGCCGGUGGGCUCUAAGCGUAGUACAUACUCCCGCUAUAGAGUUCCCCCGGUGGCUCGCCAGAACCCCCAAUUUUUUACAGG